CGUACACUCCUGCGGGAGGCAGCAGUGGGGAAUCUUGCGCAAUGGGCGAAAGCCUGACGCAGCCAUGCCGCGUGAAUGAUGAAGGUCUUAGGAUUGUAAAAUUCUUUCACCGGGGACGAUAAUGACGGUACCCGGAGAAGAAGCCCCGGCUAACUUCGUGCCAGCAGCCGCGGUAAUACGAAGGGGGCUAGCGUUGCUCGGAAUUACUGGGCGUAAAGGGAGCGUAGGCGGACAUUUAAGUCAGGGGUGAAAUCCCGGGGCUCAACCUCGGAAUUGCCUUUGAUACUGGGUGUCUUGAGUAUGAGAGAGGUGUGUGGAACUCCGAGUGUAGAGGUGAAAUUCGUAGAUAUUCGGAAGAACACCAGUGGCGAAGGCGACACACUGGCUCAUUACUGACGCUGAGGCUCGAAAGCGUGGGGAGCAAACAGGAUUAGAAACCCUGGUAGUCCCAU
Molecule: ribosomal RNA, 452 nt
Filed under: uncultured organism
Description: partial 16S ribosomal RNA
Rfam family: Bacterial small subunit ribosomal RNA
Source: RNAcentral